RNAcentral lists this ribosomal RNA (468 nucleotides) under uncultured bacterium. Its description in RNAcentral is "partial 16S ribosomal RNA". It matches the Rfam family "Bacterial small subunit ribosomal RNA", at positions 28 to 507 of the family's 1533-position model. The record is from RNAcentral.
GACGAACGCUGGCGGCGUGCUUAACACAUGCAAGUCGAACGGAAAGGCCCUGCUUUUGUUGGGUGCUCGAGUGGCGAACGGGUGAGUAACACGUGAGUAACCUGCCCUUGACUUUGGGAUAACUUCAGGAAACUGGGGCUAAUACCGGAUAGGAGCUCCUGCUGCAUGGUGGGGGUUGGAAAGUUUCGGCGGUUGGGGAUGGACUCGCGGCUUAUCAGCUUGUUGGUGGGGUAGUGGCUUACCAAGGCUUUGACGGGUAGCCGGCCUGAGAGGGUGACCGGCCACAUUGGGACUGAGAUACGGCCCAGACUCCUACGGGAGGCAGCAGUGGGGAAUAUUGCACAAUGGGCGGAAGCCUGAUGCAGCAACGCCGCGUGCGGGAUGACGGCCUUCGGGUUGUAAACCGCUUUCGCAUGUGACGAAGCGUGAGUGACGGUAAUGGGUAAAGAAGCACCGGCUAACUACGUG